CGCGUAGGCGGUUUGUUUAGUUAGGCGUGAAAUUCCUGGGCUUAACCUGGGGACUGCGCUUAAUACAGGCAGACUUGAGUUCGGAAGAGGGUCGUGGAAUUCCCAGUGUAGAGGUGAAAUUCGUAGAUAUUGGGAAGAACACCGGUGGCGAAGGCGGCGACCUGGUCCGAUACUGACGCUGAGGCGCGAAAGCGGUGGGGAGCAAACA
This 208-nucleotide ribosomal RNA is filed under the name uncultured bacterium. RNAcentral describes it as "partial 16S ribosomal RNA". It matches the Rfam family "Bacterial small subunit ribosomal RNA", at positions 568 to 774 of the family's 1533-position model. The record is from RNAcentral.